GCUUCUUCGGAAGUGAUUAAAGUGGCGCACGGGUGAGUAACGCGUAGACAAUCUGCCCUUCAGUCCGGGACAACUUUCCGAAAGGGGAGCUAAUACCGGAUAACAAUGUUAAACAUAAGUUUAAUAUUUGAAAGCUCCGGCGCUGAUGGAUGAGUCUGCGUCCCAUUAGCUUGUUGGUGCGGUAGUGGCGCACCAAGGCUGCGAUGGGUAGCGGGUUUGAGAGGACGAUCCGCCACACUGGAACUGAGACACGGUCCAGACUCCUACGGGAGGCAGCAGUGGGGAAUAUUGCACAAUGGAGGAAACUCUGAUGCAGCAAUGCCGCGUGAGUGAAGAAGGCCCUUGGGUCGUAAAGCUCUUUUAUGGGGGAAGAUGAUGACGGUACCCCAGGAAUAAGCACCGGCUAACUACGUGCCAGCAGCCGCGGUAAUACGUAGGGUGCGAGCGUUGUUCGGAAUUACUGGGCGUAAAGGGCGCGCAGGCGGAGGUGUAAGUCGGAGGUGAAAGCCCGGGGCUCAACCCCGGAGGGUCUUUCGAAACUACAUCUCUAGAGAGGGUUAGGGGCCGGCAGAAUUCCUGGUGUAGAGGUGAAAUUCGUAGAUAUCAGGAGGAAUACCGGUGGCGAAAGCGGCCGGCUGGGGCCACUCUGACGCUGAGGCGCGAAAGCGUGGGGAGCAAACAGGAUUAGAUACCCUGGUAGUCCACGCCGUAAACGAUGAGCACUGGACGUUCGGAGGGUUCGACCCUUCUGGGUGUUCAGCUAACGCA
Molecule: ribosomal RNA, 768 nt
Filed under: uncultured SAR324 cluster bacterium
Lineage: Bacteria; Deltaproteobacteria
Description: SSU rRNA
Rfam family: Bacterial small subunit ribosomal RNA
Source: RNAcentral